Medicago truncatula (barrel medic) is the source of this 164-nucleotide microRNA precursor. It matches the Rfam family "MIR2606 microRNA precursor family". NCBI's taxonomy places the organism in Eukaryota, Viridiplantae, Streptophyta, Magnoliopsida, Fabales, Fabaceae. The record is from Rfam.
AAAACUUAGGUACAAUUCUUUAGGUGUUUUUCGUAUGGUUUUUAACUAAAAAUAUAUCUUUUUACGAUACAAUAAACUUUGAGAAAAUUAUGGAUUUGAGAAAAUCAUACUAAAUUUAAUUAAGAACUAUACGAAAAGCACCUAAGAAAUUGUACCUAAGUUUU